Long non-coding RNA from Sarcophilus harrisii (Tasmanian devil), 10441 nucleotides. The record is from Ensembl. NCBI's taxonomy places the organism in Eukaryota, Metazoa, Chordata, Mammalia, Dasyuromorphia, Dasyuridae.
AUAUUUAUACAUAUACACACACAUAUGUGUAUUUGCAUAUAUACAUAUAUGUGUAUAUAAUUUGCACAUAAAAGUAUAUAAUAAAUGGAUUUUUAAUUGAAUAUCUAUAAUGUGCUGAGCACUGUACUUUUAGGAAGUUAAAAAAGGUAAGAAAUAUUUUCUUUUCUUAAAAUGUAUUUAGCCUUAUUUAAGAAUCAAUGAGUCAAGGCAGCUAGGUGGCUCCGUGGAUAGAGCACCAGUCCUGAAGUUAGGGGGACUUGAGUUUAAAUCUGUUCUCAGACACUUAACACUUCCUAGUUGUGUGACCCUGGGCAAGUCACUUAAUCCCAAUUGCCUCAGAAAAAAAAUCUCUCCUCAAUUUAUUAAUAUCUUUUAUUAUUGUAUUACUUUGAUUUCUGAACAUUUCCCUCCUUUCUCUCCAACUCCAGUGAAUUGAAUCAGAUUUUGAAAAACAGAGGGGAAAAUAAAGUUCAACAAAGUUAGCCACCCCAAAGCUAAUUGCUAAGUUCUAUGAUAUAUUCACUAUUAUACAUUCAGACACCCAACUCUGCAAUGAGAAGAGUAAGGUACAUUUUCUCAAUUCUCUGGGGUCCAAGGUUGAUCAUUAUUAUGGAGCAUUCAGAUUCAGUUUCUUGAAAGUUUUUGUUCUUUCCAUUUACAUUGUUAUUAGCAUGCAUUUUAUUUCCUGAUUCUACCUAAUGUGACACUACAUCAGUUCAUAUAAGCUGUGGAAAAAGCUUUUCAAUGAUGGUGCCAAAUUUUGACAAUAACACAUAUUCUACCCUUUUCCUAACCUCUAGGACUGCUUUUCUGCAUAUUAUUUUUUGAAACUUUAAUUUCUCUGUUUCAGUACCUCAAGAAUUUGUGAUUAUUAUUGAGGGCAAAAUUCUCUCCUGAUAAUCAGGACUUAUAUGUUCCUCAGAAGUUGAUUUUCAGGAAUUGCUGUGGUUGAAAAAUAGACUUCCUGUCUCAGCUGGAUUGGUCCUUAGAUAACAGGCAUGUAACCCUGAAGUCUCUUUAUUCGAUAGAUUCUAACCCAGAGGCUCCUUGAAAUCCAUGAAUGGGAAGGAGGAGCACAUUAGUGGAGAUAAACUUCAAGGUUGCCACUCUGAUAAUGCAGUUUAAUUUAUAGGUCAGGUAAUUCAGGGGCAGCUAGAGGGCACAGUGGAUAUAACACCGAGCCUGGAGUCAGAAAGACUCUUCUUCCUUAGUUCCUGAGUCUAGCAUUAGACACCUACAAGUUAUGUGACUUUCUGCCUCAGUGUCCUCAUCUGUAAAAUGAGCUGAAGAAGGAAAUGGUAAAUCACUCCAGUAUCAUUGCCAAGAAAAUGCCAAAUGGGCCCAUAAAGAAUUGAACACAAGUGAAAACAAUUGAACAAGAACAAUGCAGUUUAUUUUCUUAAUUAAAACUUUUUAUUUUCAAAACAUAUGCAUGGAUAAUUUUUCAACAUUGACUCUUGCAAAACCUUGUGCUCCAAAUUUUCCCUUCUUUCCCCCCACCUCCUCCCUUAGAUGGCAAGUUAUCCAAUAUGUUAUACAUGUUAAAAUAUAUGUUAAAUUCAAUAUAUAUAAACAUAUUUAUACAAUUUCUUGCUGCACACACACACACAAAUCAGAUCAAAAAGGGAAAAAAUGAGAAAGAAAACAAAAUGCAAAUAAACAACAAAAAAGAGUGAAAAUGCUAUAUUGUGAUCCACACUCAGUUCCCACAGUCCUCUCUCUGGAUGUAGAUGGCUAUUGAUCAUCAUAUAAUAUUGCUGUUGCUGUGUACAAUGAUCAGUUCAUAUAAUUCUCUCCAGGCCUCUCUAAAAUCAUCCUGCGGGUCAUUUCUCACAGAACAAUAAUAGUCCAUAACAUUCACAUACCAUCACUUAUUCAGCCAUUCUCCAACUGAUGGGCAUCCAUUCAGUUUCCAGUUUCUUGCCACUACAAAAAGGGCUGCCACAAACAUUCUUGUGUAUGUGGGUCCCUUUCCCUUCUUUAUGAUCUCUUUGAGUUAUAAGCCCAAUAGAAACACUGCUGGAUCAAAUGGUAUGCAAAGUUUGAUGACUUUUUGAGCAUAGUUCCAAAUUUCUCUCCAGAAUGGCUGGAUCUGUUCAUAGGUCCACCAAGGUAUUAGUGUCCCAGUUUUCCUACAUCCCCUCCAACAGUUGUCAUUAUCUUUUCCUGUCACCUUAGCCAGUCUGAAAGGUGUGUAGUGAUACCUCAGAAUCAUCUUAAUUCGCAUUUUCCUAAUCAAUAGUGAUUUAUAGUAAUUUUUCAUAUGACCAGAAAUGGUUUUAAUUUCAUCAUAUGAAAAUUGUCUGUCAUAUCCUUUGACCAUUUAUCAAUUGGAGAGUGGCUUGAAUUCUUAUAAAUUUAAGUCAAUUCUCUAUAUAUUUUAGAAAUGAGGCCUUUAUCAGAACCCUUAAAUGUAAAAAUAUUUCCCCAAUUUAUUGUUUCCCUUCUAAUCUUGUCUGCAUUAGUUUUGUGUGCACAAAAACUUUUAAACUUUAUAAUCAAAAUUAUCUAUUUGGUGUUCAAUUAUGAGUUCUAGUUCUUAUUUGGCCACAAAUUCCUUUCUUCUCUACAGAUCUGAGAGGUAAAAUAUCCUAUGUUCUUCUAAUUUGCCCAUAAUAUCACUCUUUAUGUCUAAAUUAUGAACUCAUUUUGACCUUAUCUUGGUAUAUGGUGUUAGGUGUGGGUCAAUGCCUAGUUUUUGCCAUACUAGUUUCCAAUUUUCCCAGAAGUUUUUGCCAAGUACUGAGUUCUUAUCCCAAAAGGUGGGGUCUUUGGGUUUGUCAAACACUAGAUUGCUAUAAUUAUUGACUAUUUUGUCCUGUGAACCUAACCUAAUCUACUGAUCAACUAGUAUAUUUCUUAAGUAGUACCAAAUGGUUUUGAUGACCAUUUUUAUGCUUUAUAAAUAUAGUUUAUUUAUAAAUAAUAAACUGCUUUAUUAUUUUAAGCUUUAUAAUAUAAAGUUUUUUUAUUUUAUAAUAAAAAUAAUAUAAUUUUUAUAUUAUAUUAAAUAUAAAUUUAAUUUAGAUCGUAUUGUCAUUUUUAUUAUGUUCGCUAUCUACCCAUGAGCACUUGUUAUUUUUCCAACCGAUUAGAUCUGACUUUAUUUGUGUGGAAAGUGUUUUGUAGUUGUGUUCUUAGAGUCCCUAACUUUCCCUUGGCAGAUAGAUUCCCAAAUAUUUUACACUAUUGACAGUUAUUUUGAAUGGAAUUUCUCUUUGUAUCUCUUACCUUUGGACUUUGUUAGUAACACAGCAGUUUAAAAUUAAGUAGUGGUACUGAUGCUAAAGAGGUGUGUUUCACCUUCUCUAGAAUCUCUUCGAAUUUAGAAUCUUUUAAAACUGAGAAUCAAAAAAAUUUUACAAUUGGAUUAUACUUUCAGUUCUAUCAAGAAUCCAAAGAGAAUGAGAACAGUUCACUGAGACUUCUGACUUGCUAUAGCAACCCCAUCUCCCAGGCUUAUUAUCUACAUGGAUUAACAUGUUGUGAGGAGAAACAAAGAUUUAGACAUUCAUAGAGAAUAUAGAUUGCCUGAUUAAACAUGCAAAUUAAGUUUAAGACCAGUAACCUAGGUAACAUCGUACCCAAUAUGUGAAUUGAGUUCUAUAGCCUCCCUGAGAAAUGACCAUCCAGGCUUUCCUUGGAUACUUUUAGUAUAAAGAAUUCACUGCCUUAUAAAGCUUCUCUGGUUAGAGAGUUUUCUUAUGCUAAAUCAAAUUUUUAUAAAGUCUGUGUUUUGCUUCUAAUUCUACUUACAGAAGCAACUCACAUAUACACACAAACAUCUUUGAGAUAUUUGGAAUGAUGCUCAGGCCCAUAUUCUUCUGCUGAAUUUUUACCUACUUUUUAAAGCCCAACUUAAACCUUAACCUUCCUCUCUACUCACUAACACUUUAAAAAAUAACUUUGUAACAUAUUACCAAGUAGAACAUCCACUUUUGGGCCACUUCCCCACCUCCUUCACAUUGGCAUUUUGGGCAUUCAGAAAGUAGGUGGAUGAAACCUGCUCCCCUCAGGGUUCUAGGAGGUGGGGUUUCCAACAAUAUUAAUCAUGAGAUCCUAUCUAGUAUUCUCCUUAUUAUCAAUCUCCUUAUUUUCAACCAGUAUCUUUAUUAUCAAUUUGCUUUUAGAAAAGGGAUUUACUGAAAUGCAAGAGAUAAAACAAGAGAUGCAGUUAUAAAACAUUGCCCUCAAUCCAGACACACACUCUCCCCUUGUCCCUGCAAGCCCCUUUUGAGAAUGGGUUUGGAUUUAAGGUACAAAGGAAAUGAGCACACAAAUAGAGAACAUAUGACGCAGAGGUACCUCAAAAAAAAAUCCUCCUGGCCCUAAAAGAACAUUUCUCCUUUCAUGAGAGUACUUAUGAGAUUAAUGGAGUUUAGGUAGCUAUCUGCUGAGUUCUGAGGAUCAGUAUUUUUCUUUUUUGAUUUUUUAUGUUGUUUCUUGUUGUGUUGCUUGUUUUGGGGGUUUUUUGUUUAUUUUUAGUGAGGCAAUGGAAAUUAAGUGACUUAUUCAGGGUCACACAGCUAAGUCAAGUAUGUAGGAUUUGAACUCGGGUCCUCCUGACUCAAGCCAGUGCUCUAUCCACUGUGUCACUUAGCUGCCUUUAUGGAUCAAUAUCCUUCUCAAAUUCAUAUCUUGCAUUUCUUAUUACAAGUGGUCAAGAACCUGCCAUCUGCCACCAUCCCACCUUUCUUUCCAUCUCCAUUUUUAGGCAUUUCUUCUGUCAUUGGUCAUUACCACUUUAGCAGAUUCUACUAGUGAUUCUGAGUCUAAUGAGUCAUUAGUCCUUCCAAUGAUAUCAACACAUAUUACUAACUCUGAAUUAUCAGGAUCAAAAAGAGCUUCCAAAGCUCUCUAUAUUGGAUUGGCAGCAGAGAAAAAUCUGAGUGCUUCACCUAGUUUAAAAGAAUGGAAAAUCCAAGUUGGAUCCAAGUCUCCCUAUUCUAAGAACUUUAUUUUACACUUGAAUUCUGCUUUCUAGGUAAAUGUUGAUUCACUAAUUGAUUCUCUGAAUGUGAUUGUUCAAUCAAAUGGGAAUCCAUAAGAGUACUGAGACUCAGAAAGAUUAAGUAAGUGCUAGUAUUGGGAUUCGAGCCCACUGAAGUCAGUUCUACUGCUCAUUUUCCAAGAUGGCAUCCAGUUCAUGGGACACAAUUUUGCCAUCUCAUCCAAAUAGAAGACUUGACAAAUUAUUUUUUUAGUUUGCUUUGACACAUCCCCAGUUCUAAGCAACAAUAAAUAAAAAAAUAAACUCUUUUGGCAGGGAAUUUGUUAGCACUCUUUAGGAUGCUGGGAAAUAUUGUAGAAUCUGUAGAGUAUCACAGAACUCCAGUUUAAUUUCCCUACUUGAAAAGCCUGUAAACUAUUAUAUGGGCAGCUAGAUGAUGUUGUGGAUAGAGUGCUUGUCCUGGAAUUAGGAAAACAUCCUGAGUUCAAAUUUGACCUCACUUUCUAGUUAUAUGACUCUGAACAAGUCACAUAAUCUUCUUUGCCUCAGUUUCCUUGUCUGUAAAAUGCGUGGAAAAGGAAAUGGCAAACCACUCCAGUAUUUUUGUUAAGAAAAGCCCAAAUGUGAUCACAAAGUAUCAGAUACUUCUUAAACUGAGUAACAAAAUGUUGAGACUGAACUAAAUACAUAGUGUCAAACUCAAACAAAAAUGAGAGCCACUAAGCCUCACAUAAGAAUCUCUGUCAGCUUCAUACUAACAUAGAAAACCACAUGUUAACAUUAUUUAUAUUCUAUUAUAUUUUUACUUUUUUCCCCUUUUUUGGUAAGGCAAUUGGGAUUAAGUGACUUGCCCAGGGUAACACUGCUAGAAAGUGUUAAGUAAGUGUCUAAGGUCACAUUUGAACUCAGGUCUUCCUGACUUUUGGGAUGGUGCUCUAUUCACUAUACAGCUAGCUGCCCCAUAUUUUUAUUUUUUAAAAUAUUUAUCAAUUAUAUUUGAAUGUGUUUGGGCUACAUCCCCAUUUCCUUCUCUCCCUCCCCAAUGUCAUCAGGGCCAACACAGAUUUUUUGACACCUUUGGAUUAGAAUACCUCUCAAGUUAUUUGUACCUCUAAAUCCAUGAUUCUAUGAUUAAUCCCUAUUAAAUUUCAUCUUAUUAUGUUCAACCAAUUCUCUACCCUAUCAAGAUCAUUUUAAAUCUUAAAUCUGACAUCCAAUGAAUUAGCUAUCCCUUCCAACUUUGUAUCAUCUGAAAAGUUUAUAUGCAAAUCAUCUAUCUAUAUCUUUAGCCAAGUCAUUAAUGAACACAUUAAACCGCACAGGGUCAGAAAAAAGAAGAGGCAACUUGAUUAAUAGACAGAGUACUGCUUGGCUAUACAUACUUUCCAAAUAGAGUUAUUCCUUCCACAUUGCAGGAACUAGGGACACAAGUACCCCUACGACCUAGAAAAUCCAUGUAAAACUUUUUGGCUCUCCCUUUGUACUAUAGAAGAAGUCUGAAUUAUUAUGGUACUAAAAGAUAAAUUGAUAUUAUACAAUACUAUACAUAUAUUUUAUGUACUUUUGAGUUUCUAAACUUUUUCUUUGUUGUCUUCUGGCCUUCAUGUGUCAUCUGCAAAUUCCCCAAAAUUUCUCACUUAAUUUCUUAUGCUGACCCACAAUGGAAAAGUUGCAGUGUGAAAGGAUUAACUAUAUAACAAAAUAUGUAUAUCUAUCAAAAGAUAUCACUUGACUUUCUCCUGUCCCUCCUUAAACUUCACCAAAGAAAGGGUUCUUCUUUCCAGCCACCUACUUUUUGGGUAGUUUCAUUUAUUUCUAAAAUCUCAAUUGACUUUAUUAUUUGGUAAUCCUGGCACACCUUCAUCUCAAGUUUAGAAAUUCUUUUAAGCAUUUUCUUUUUUUCUCAAAUUAGCACUUCCAAUUAAACACCAACGUCCUGUCUCUGCAGUUCCUGGUGGUUCCUGACUUGUUCCUCUAGCUGAGAAGGUUGGUCUGAUUUUCACUUUCAGUAAAUAUACUUCUCUGCUCCAGAAAAUAUGAAUUCUUAAAUGCUUAUACAUGUUCGUAACCUGCCACUCCAAUGAUGCAUAUCCUGUUAUGGCUAUUUGCACUACAGAAGAUUCUCUGAUAUCCCUCUAGAUCUGUUUCAAUAAGCUAGGAAAUCCUUUGAUCACAUCACUGAUCUUUGCAACAUUAAAUCCUUGUUAGAGACAAGUGUUUUGGUAAAAGUCAGCUGCGAGGUUGAUUCCUCUCCUCAGUAAUUUAUUUUGAGUCGUUAGAAGGAUCUAUGCUUCAGCAGGAGACCAUCUGCUGCUCUAGAAAAGACCCAUAGAGAAGCCACAAACAGAAGCAACAUCAAGUUUAAUAGCUUACACACAUGGGUUUACAGGUCAAUUCACCCUAAUUUGGCACUGCUUUUAACCACCACAUCUUAUAAAGCCAAAUUCAAAAGCAUCAAUUUGAACAUUGCCUGCUACUAGAGAAGCCAAAUAAUUAAGUUUGGGUCAUGACUUUAUAUAUCAGGAAACAUGAUCCUAUUUUUCAGAACUGGUGGUCCAGGGUUCUCUUUCUACUUCUGCCACUGUUUCAUGGGACCUGAGGUCAGUGGUUCUUAUCCUAUUCUUUCUUUUAAAAAAUACUAAGGGAGCUUAAAAUAGAAAAGGGGUUUUUUCCCCUAAUGAUCCCACAAAUUUGACUCAAAGAAAUAUUAAGCACCUAUUAUGUGCAAGAUGAUGCUAGGAGUAUGUGUAAUUUGUUAAUUACAAAUUACAGAGGAUUUAUAAUCUAAAGAGCUCUUAUAGGUUAUUUAGUCCAAGCCCCUGGUUUUACAGAUGAUAAAAUGGAGAUCAAGAGACUCAGGGAGGUUAAGUAACUAGGUAGUAAGUGAUAGAGUCACAUUUGAACCGAUAUCUUUUGAAUCCAAAUCUAGUGAUUUUUACUUUUUAUUCUUUUUACUACAAUCUCUUGCUUCCAAACCCACCAUUCCCUACUACACUGUGCUAGGUUCAAAUGAUGAAAGUCAUCAUGGAAUUAAAUGUAUGACAGAGACCAAUAUCCUAGUAAAAACUUACCAGCAGCCUUCCCUUCAGAAUUUGGGGUUGGUUGGUGCAUUAGAGGGAAGGAAAGACUGGGAAACUCAUAGAAAAAGGGAAGAGAGAGGGGAAAAAAGUGAGGUAGAGUUGCAUAAGAAGGAAGAUAGAGAAAAAAUUGGAUCAAUCCUAAAUGACCCAAUUCAUUUCAUUUCAAGAGACAUUUAUUAAAGAACCAAUAUUUGAAAGACACUAUGAUGAAUCUUGAGGAUAGAAAGACAAUAAUUUGACAUGCAAAACCACCCCAAGAAGCCUUAUAACUCAUCCAACAUUCACAACUACCUCUCUGGUGAUCAAAUUCCUAUGUUCUCAACUGCUCUAGCUUAAUCUCUAAUUAUUCAGGGAUAAAUUCUCCCCAUUUAUCUCAUUGUUUUUCCCUUCAACUCUCCUAUUACCCUAUCUUACUCCAACUCUGCCCACCCUUUCCAUUGUAGAACCCAUUUCAUAAACAAAAACAAAAACAAAAACAAAAAACAAAAAAACACUUCCCUUCAUCCUGGCUCCUUUCCAUUUAUACCCCUUUCGUUUAUUUCCCCCAAAUAAUACUGCUCCCUUGACUUCAAACUAUACCACAAUCUUCAACAGUAGCUGUACACACUCUGAACUUACUCCCAACACACUGGUCCUUGAGAGAGGGUCAAAAUAUUCCAGAUUCCCCAUUGCAACUUUAAGACUACACAUGUUCCUAUCACUCCACAGCCACUCUAUUAAAAUUUUUCAUCUUUUUAAUCAUAAUGUUUAUCGCCUUAUAGUUCUCAGGUUAUUCUCCUUCUCUCAAAAAUUUGGCAUCUAGCUCAUCUAGCUCUCUUCUUCAACUCAUCCUUAUAUUAAGGGACUUCAGUUUUCAUAUAAGUGCUCCUUCAACUAUGUUAACCUCCAAGUUACUCAGUCUCCUCAGAACCUACUCCUCUAGUUGAACACUACCAUGAAUAGAAUACUGGGCCUGGAGUCAAAAAGACCUGAGUUCAAAUCCAAAUUCAGAUACUUACCCUGAGCAAAGUGGCUUAACAUCUAUCAAUCUUAAUUGUGAAAUGGAGAUAAUAAUAGCAACUCCUUUAGAGUGUUGUUUCACGGAUCAAAUGAAAUAUUUGUAAAGUGCUUAGCAUAGCUUAUUAGCUGGAUGGUAUAGUGGAUGGAGAGCCAGACCUGGAAUCAGAAAGUCUCUUCUUCUUGAGUUUAAAUCCAACCUCAGCCACUUACUUGCUGUAUGAUCUUGGACAAAUCACUUAACCUUAUUUGCCUUGAUUCCUCUCUUGAAAAUGAACUGGAGAAGGAAAUGGCAGACCAUUCCAGAAUCUUUGCCAAGAAAACCCCAAGUAGGAUCAUGAAGAGUUGAACAUGAUUGAAAAACAACUGAACAAUUAGCAUAAUGUCUGGCACAUAGUAGGUGCUUAAUAAAUCUGUAUUCUCUUCUCCCCCUCCACCAUAUCAUAAACAGAAAUGACUGCACCCUGAUUCUUAUCAUUACCCAAGUGUUCCACCUUCUUCAUCACAUUCUGAAAUUCCUGUCAAACUAUAACCUACCAUUCCUUUUCUCCCCAUACUCAUCCCUCAUAAACCUGUUUUUCAAAUCCUUAUUGCAAACCCCAAUCUCUCUAUCCUUCAGUCCUUUCUCAAAUAAUUCAUUACUCCUGCUUUGAGUUCAUUUUCUUUUCUUCCUAAUUUCAACCUUAUGAUUAGCAAAGAAUCCAAUUCCAUACUGCCCUCUACCUUCAUUUACUCACCCCAAUUUUCAACCAGUUCACUUCUUGCAAAAUCUAAGCUCUGGACUACUACCUGUCUUCUCCAUUCCUACUCACAUACUAAUGACUGUAAGUAAAAGUCACAUGUUCAUGUGUUAUCUCAUGUGUUAUCUUACCCAACUGGUACCUGAAUGAGAUGUGCUAAUACUUCACUUCUUUCUUAGCUGAUUCACUAUUUCAUUUACUGCAGAAAUAUUCCCACACUCACUCUUGUCUUCUAAAGUCUCUCACAAUUUCCUCUCCCAUUCUUACUCUGUCAACUAAGGAUUCUGCCUUUUACAUUACUGCAAAAAUAAAAGUCAUUCACCAUGAACUCCCAAACUCCUUAAUAUUAUUGCUUACUCUCACCUUUCCUCCAGCCUCUAAUAAUGAGCUAUCAAGGAAGAAAUUGGCAACUCUAACCAGAGAUUAGUGGGUUUAGAAGAAAAAGAUAGACACUUCACAUUAACAGUAGAGCCUCUGAAAAAAGAAAAAACAGAACUGAGGCACAAAAAUUCAAAGGUAGAGGAAAAAUAAUGAAACAAAAUUGAAAGAAAAAAUAGAAAAGAUAAUAUGUAUGAAAACUCUACAGAAUGAGCAUAGUGAAUGUAAAAAUCAUAUGUGAAGGAAAUCUAAGUAUUAUCGCUCUUCUAGAAGAAAAAAAACAUGAAAUGUCACUU